This 253-nucleotide ribosomal RNA is filed under the name uncultured bacterium. Its description in RNAcentral is "partial 16S ribosomal RNA". It matches the Rfam family "Bacterial small subunit ribosomal RNA", at positions 524 to 776 of the family's 1533-position model. The record is from RNAcentral.
UACGUAGGGUGCAAGCGUUGUCCGGAAUUAUUGGGCGUAAAGAGCUCGUAGGCGGUUUGUCGCGUCUGCUGUGAAAAUCCAGGGCUUAACCCUGGACCUGCAGUGGGUACGGGCAGACUAGAGUGCGGUAGGGGAGAUCGGAAUUCCUGGUGUAAGCGGUGAAUGCGCAGAUAUCAGGAGGAACACCGGGUGCGAAGGCGGAUCUCUGGGCCGUAACUGACGCUGAGGCGCGAAAGCGUGGGGAGCAAACGGG